UUGAACGCUGGCGGCCGGCCUCACCCCUGCCAGUCGAACGGUAACAGGAAGAAGCUUGCUUCUUUGCUGACGCGUGGCGGACGGGUGAGUAAUGUCUGGGAAACUGCCUGAUGGAGGGGGAUAACUACUGGAAACGGUAGCUAAUACCGCAUAACGUCGCAAGACCAAAGAGGGGGACCUUCGGGCCUCUUGCCAUCGGAUGUGCCCAGAUGGGAUUAGCUAGUAGGUGGGGUAACGGCUCACCUAGGCGACGAUCCCUAGCUGGUCUGAGAGGAUGACCAGCCACACUGGAACUGAGACACGGUCCAGACUCCUACGGGAGGCAGCAGUGGGGAAUAUUGCACAAUGGGCGCAAGCCUGAUGCAGCCAUGCCGCGUGUAUGAAGAAGGCCUUCGGGUUGUAAAGUACUUUCAGCGGGGAGGAAGGGAGUAAAGUUAAUACCUUUGCUCAUUGACGUUACCCGCAGAAGAAGCACCGGCUAACUCCGUG
This 489-nucleotide ribosomal RNA is filed under the name uncultured bacterium. RNAcentral's name for it is "partial 16S ribosomal RNA". It matches the Rfam family "Bacterial small subunit ribosomal RNA", at positions 30 to 507 of the family's 1533-position model. The record is from RNAcentral.